ACGAACGCUGGCGGCGUGCUUAACACAUGCAAGUCGAGCGGAAAGGCCCUGCUUUUGUGGGGUGCUCGAGUGGCGAACGGGUGAGUAACACGUGAGUAACCUGCCCUUGACUUUGGGAUAACUUCAGGAAACUGGGGCUAAUACCGGAUAGGAGCUCCUGCUGCAUGGUGGGGGUUGGAAAGUUUCGGCGGUUGGGGAUGGACUCGCGGCUUAUCAGCUUGUUGGUGGGGUAGUGGCUUACCAAGGCUUUGACGGGUAGCCGGCCUGAGAGGGUGACCGGCCACAUUGGGACUGAGAUACGGCCCAGACUCCUACGGGAGGCAGCAGUGGGGAAUAUUGCACAAUGGGCGGAAGCCUGAUGCAGCCACGCCGCGUGCGGGAUGACGGCCUUCGGGUUGUAAACCGCUUUCGCCUGUGACGAAGCGUGAGUGACGGUAAUGGAUAAAGAAGCACCGGCUAACUACGUG
Molecule: ribosomal RNA, 467 nt
Filed under: uncultured bacterium
Lineage: Bacteria
Description: partial 16S ribosomal RNA
Rfam family: Bacterial small subunit ribosomal RNA
Source: RNAcentral